RNAcentral lists this ribosomal RNA (512 nucleotides) under uncultured eukaryote. RNAcentral's name for it is "bacterial SSU rRNA". It matches the Rfam family "Eukaryotic small subunit ribosomal RNA", at positions 539 to 1083 of the family's 1831-position model. The record is from RNAcentral.
UGUUUAAUUGGAGGGCAAGUUUUGGUGCCAGCAGCCGCGGUAAUUCCAACUCCAAGAGUGUAUCUUAAUGUUGCUGCAGUUAAAAAAGCUCGUAGUUGAACUUCUGGCUAGUGGAGGUCCCCGGGAUCAUUCGCUAGUCAUCCGCUCGGAGAAGCAGUAUUUCCUUUACUGGUUUUACUGUAGACCCAGCAUUUUACUUUGAAGAAAUUUAGAGUGUUCCUGGCAGGCUUAGCUUGCAUAUAUUAGCAUGGAAUAAUGGAAUAGGACCUUGUCUGUUUUAUUGGUUGACAGAUAGGUAAUGAUUAACAGGGACAGUCGGGGGCAUUCGUACUCAGUGGCUAGAGGUGAAAUUCUUAGAUUCGCUGAAGACGAACUAAUGCGAAAGCAUUUGCCAAGGAUGUUUUCAUUAAUCUAAGAACGAAAGUUAGGGAUCAAGACGAUUAGAUACCGUCGUAGUCCUAGCCAUAAACUAUACCGACUAGGGAUUGGUGUGGGUCAGUAAUCCAUAUCAG